Long non-coding RNA from Zingiber officinale, 547 nucleotides. RefSeq lists it as uncharacterized. The transcript is spliced from 2 exons. The record is from RefSeq and is a predicted model, not a curated record. NCBI's taxonomy places the organism in Eukaryota, Viridiplantae, Streptophyta, Magnoliopsida, Zingiberales, Zingiberaceae.
AAUCGCAACCAUGGGGAUGGGGGAGCAGAUGAUGCCGCGGCCGCGAAUGCUUCCGCGAUGGGGACGAUCGUCGCCGUCUCACUGGACGGCCAGUCCAUCGGCCUGGUAAGCGGAAGGAGGAGUUUGAAUAGAUUCGAGUCUCGUGCCUUCUCUCUGCCUCGCUGAAGCCUCAUACCAAAGGGAUGGCGCAUCAUGUCUCCAUAUCAGGCCAUCUCUCUUCCUUUGUCGUGCUCGUGUUCCUGUUCUUAUUGUUGACGAAAGUUUGAUAAUUACCCCAAUGGUAAACUCUGGACGAACACUAGAGAAAAAGAUGGAUCAAGUUUUUUUGUUGAAAUGGGAAAUUGGGGGUUUAGUUAGGGUACUUGAACAUGGCAAAUUUUUCCUGAAGGAUUCAUUGUGACUCGAAGUCUAUUCUCUCCGUAGAAAUUAAUGUAUUUUGUUUGCAUGAUAUAACAAGCAAUAAUUGACAUUUAUCCCCUGCCAUGUGCUUUGUUGAUUCACUGCUCUAGAAUGCUGCUUCUGUUUUAAUCAAAUUAAAUUUGUGGAA